AAGGGAACGCGGUCCAACACCGCGGCUGUGCCCGCAACUGUAGGCGGCGAGGCCGUCGUCCGAUCCGGGGCUUUGGCCCUGGCGUCACUGGGACCGUUUCGACGGGUCCGGGAAGGCGGGGACGGCGGCUGAUGACCCGCAAGCCAGGAGACCU
This 154-nucleotide non-coding RNA is filed under the name Brevundimonas sp. The record is from RNAcentral. Lineage: Bacteria; Pseudomonadati; Pseudomonadota; Alphaproteobacteria; Caulobacterales; Caulobacteraceae.